RNAcentral lists this ribosomal RNA (506 nucleotides) under uncultured bacterium. RNAcentral describes it as "partial 16S ribosomal RNA". It matches the Rfam family "Bacterial small subunit ribosomal RNA", at positions 28 to 523 of the family's 1533-position model. The record is from RNAcentral.
GAUGAACGCUAGCUACAGGCUUAACACAUGCAAGUCGAGGGGCAGCAUGGUCUUAGCUUGCUAAGGCCGAUGGCGACCGGCGCACGGGUGAGUAACACGUAUCCAACCUGCCGUCUACUCUUGGACAGCCUUCUGAAAGGAAGAUUAAUACAAGAUGGCAUCAGGAGUCCACAUGUUCACAUGAUUAAAGGUAUUCCGGUAGACGAUGGGGAUGCGUUCCAUUAGAUAGUAGGCGGGGUAACGGCCCACCUAGUCUUCGAUGGAUAGGGGUUCUGAGAGGAAGGUCCCCCACAUUGGAACUGAGACACGGUCCAAACUCCUACGGGAGGCAGCAGUGGGGAAUAUUGGUCAAUGGGCGAGAGCCUGAACCAGCCAAGUAGCGUGAAGGAUGACUGCCCUAUGGGUUGUAAACUUCUUUUAUAAAGGAAUAAAGUCGGGUAUGCAUACCCGUUUGCAUGUACUUUAUGAAUAAGGAUCGGCUAACUCCGUGCCAGCAGCCGCAGUAA